This 253-nucleotide ribosomal RNA is filed under the name uncultured bacterium. RNAcentral describes it as "partial 16S ribosomal RNA". It matches the Rfam family "Bacterial small subunit ribosomal RNA", at positions 524 to 776 of the family's 1533-position model. The record is from RNAcentral.
UACGGAAUGUGCAAACGUUAUUCGGAAUCACUGGGCUUAAAGAGUCCGUAGGCGGCCUGUUAGGUGAGGUGUGAAAUCCCCCGGCUCAACCGAGGAAUUGCGCUUCAAACCGGCAGGCUUGAGGAGGAUAGAGGUGGGCGGAACUGAUGGUGGAGCGGUGAAAUGCGCAGAUAUCGGGAGGAACACCAGUAGCGAAGGCGGCUCGCUGGGCCACACCUGACGCUGAGACGCGAAAGCUAGGGGAGCGAACAGG